This 182-nucleotide long non-coding RNA is filed under the name Ailuropoda melanoleuca (giant panda). RNAcentral's name for it is "lncRNA (ENSAMEG00000030756.1)". Lineage: Eukaryota; Metazoa; Chordata; Mammalia; Carnivora; Ursidae. The record is from RNAcentral.
ACCAGCCAAAAUAAAGAAACAGCAACGGGCAGGACAGACCUCUCUGUCAUUCAGGUCCCUCCUUCGGUGAAUGAUACCAUGGUGAGAAAAGCCACUUGCAGAUGAAGUGAAUCCUUGAGAGAGAAUCAGAAGUGGAGCGAUCGUGGGCCUGGCCACCUAAAGCACCAAAAUUGACAGAGACG